This 516-nucleotide ribosomal RNA is filed under the name uncultured bacterium. RNAcentral's name for it is "bacterial SSU rRNA". It matches the Rfam family "Bacterial small subunit ribosomal RNA", at positions 376 to 883 of the family's 1533-position model. The record is from RNAcentral.
CGAAAGUCUGACGGAGCAACGCCGCGUGAGUGAAGAAGGUUUUCGGAUCGUAAAGCUCUGUCUUCAGGGACGAAUGUGCUUAAUGUGAAUAAUGUUAAGUAAUGACGGUACCUGAGGAGGAAGCCACGGCUAACUACGUGCCAGCAGCCGCGGUAAUACGUAGGUGGCAAGCGUUGUCCGGAAUUAUUGGGCGUAAAGCGCGCGCAGGCGGGAAUGUAAGUCUGUCUUAAAAGUUCGGGGCUCAACCCCGUGAUGGGAUGGAAACUACAUUUCUUGAGUGCAGGAGAGGAAAGUGGAAUUCCUAGUGUAGCGGUGAAAUGCGUAGAUAUUAGGAGGAACACCAGUGGCGAAGGCGACUUUCUGGACUGUGUCUGACGCUGAGGCGCGAAAGCCAGGGGAGUGAACGGGAUUAGAUACCCCGGUAAUCCUGGCCGUAAACGAUGGGUACUAGGUGUAGGAGGUAUCGACCCCUUCUGUGCCGGAGUUAACGCAAUAAGUACCCCGCCUGGGGAGUAC